Molecule: ribosomal RNA, 255 nt
Filed under: uncultured bacterium
Lineage: Bacteria
Description: partial 16S ribosomal RNA
Rfam family: Bacterial small subunit ribosomal RNA
Source: RNAcentral
UACGGGGGGGGCAAGCGUUGUUCGGAAUUACUGGGCGUAAAGGGCGCGUAGGCGGUCAGACCAAGUCGAGUGUGAAAUUCCAGGGCUUAACUCUGGCGCGCUCGCUCGAUACUGGUCGGCUAGAGUGUGGAAGAGGAUGCUGGAAUUCCCGGUGUAGCGGUGAAAUUCGUAGAUAUCGGGAGGAACACCAGUGGCGAAGGCGGCUCUCUGGACAGGUACUGACACUGAGACGCGAAAGCGUGGGUAGCAAACAGG